GCCUGAAUAGUUCAGUUGGUUAAAGCAUGGUGCUGAUAACAGCAAGGUCGCAGGUUCAAUCCAUGUAUGGGACA
This 74-nucleotide transfer RNA is filed under the name Podarcis lilfordi (Lilford's wall lizard). Its description in RNAcentral is "tRNA.Ile". The record is from RNAcentral. Lineage: Eukaryota; Metazoa; Chordata; Lepidosauria; Squamata; Lacertidae.